AUUGGGAGGCCACGCCCCUUCCAGGAAAAAAAAAAAAAGCAACAACAACAACACUCCGGUACUGCCGCGAAAUGGAAUGGAUGAAAAGCUUUACCUGGCAUAGAUGGACGCGCAGCAUCGAUUUCUGGGACUGAACAGACGCCUGGGCAUCUACAGCACUGACGGCUCAGUGUCCCUCAUCUACCUGAUGACUGGCAUCUUUGUGUGGCAUAGUGAUCUGCGUGGCCUAAACUGUGGGGCGGUGUUGCAGAUUCCUGGUUCUUCCCAUCCUCCCUGAAAAUGCUCAACUUUCCUUCAGUAAUUUUGCCUGGAAUUUGAAGCCCGUUGAACCUCAUUUCGCCUCAAAAUACUGGAUCCUGCACUUCAGCUCUAAGCCCUCAUGAUGAAUUCAUGCAGUUGAAACCCUUCUUUGCUGUUACUGUGGUUGUGAUGAAGCCUCAAACACACAGCCGUGAGUGGACGCGGAGUCUGCUGUGGGACAAUCCUGCAGACAACCUCACAGGUGGAG
Cynoglossus semilaevis (tongue sole) is the source of this 508-nucleotide long non-coding RNA. RefSeq lists it as uncharacterized. The transcript has 4 exons. NCBI's taxonomy places the organism in Eukaryota, Metazoa, Chordata, Actinopteri, Pleuronectiformes, Cynoglossidae. The record is from RefSeq and is a predicted model, not a curated record.